RNAcentral lists this long non-coding RNA (654 nucleotides) under Nothobranchius furzeri (turquoise killifish). RNAcentral's name for it is "lncRNA (ENSNFUG00015003484.1)". The record is from RNAcentral. Lineage: Eukaryota; Metazoa; Chordata; Actinopteri; Cyprinodontiformes; Nothobranchiidae.
AUGGACAGGUUCCUGUGUCCUCGUGUGACUCAGCCAAGCUCAGCCUCCAGUUUUCUCUCCAACAAGGAGAACAUCGUCUUCCUGGAGGCACAGCUUCAUGUGGAGCGGCCCCUCCCACAGACAGACGGCAGUCAGCUGAUCAGACCGGCAUCAGCGAAGCGGAAGAGCUCUGAAAUGGAGACCGCUGAAGAAGAGGUGACCAUCAAACGAGUUCCAGUGUUGUCCUCUUCCCCUGUGGAAGCGGAGCUUUCAGCUGAGUGGGAGGCGAGGCAGAAACAGGAGGAAGAGGAUCGCCGAAUGGCUCUGCUCCUUCAGAAGGAGUUGGAUGAGGAGGCAAAUCGAAGGGCCACCGACAGACGCAAAGGAUCCUCUGACGCCUACUUGCUCCGCCACAAGGGAGGAGAGACCGGGGAGGCCAGAGCGUCUAACGCACCUGAAAGAGGCUCCUUCCAGAGCCCCAGAACCACCAGUCGAUCCUGCUCCUCCUCAUGCUCCUCACGUCGUUCUACUCCUCUGAAGGGUCGGAAAACUUUGCCUUCAUCCUCAUCAUCUUCAUUGUCCUCCAGGGGAGGCAGGAAACAGAUGACUCUGACGAGUAUUUUUGGGUCCUCCCCCUCCUCCUCCUCAACUGCACAGACAAACAGUUGGGAGUAA